CACGUAGGGGACGAGCGUUGUCCGGAUUCAUUGGGCGUAAAGCGCGCGUAGGCGGCUCGGAAAGUCGGUCGUGAAAUGCCGGGGCUCAACCCCGGGACUGCGUCCGAUACUCCCGAGCUGGAGGCAGGUAGGGGAGAUCGGAAUUCCUGGUGUAGCGGUGAAAUGCGUAGAUAUCGGGAGGAACACCUGUGGCGAAAGCGGCGCACUGGACCACAACUGACGCUGAGGCGCGAAAGCUAGGGGAGCAAACAGG
RNAcentral lists this ribosomal RNA (253 nucleotides) under uncultured bacterium. RNAcentral's name for it is "partial 16S ribosomal RNA". It matches the Rfam family "Bacterial small subunit ribosomal RNA", at positions 524 to 776 of the family's 1533-position model. The record is from RNAcentral.